This 238-nucleotide ribosomal RNA is filed under the name Staphylococcus sp. RNAcentral describes it as "partial 16S ribosomal RNA". It matches the Rfam family "Bacterial small subunit ribosomal RNA", at positions 555 to 793 of the family's 1533-position model. The record is from RNAcentral. Lineage: Bacteria; Bacillati; Bacillota; Bacilli; Caryophanales; Staphylococcaceae.
UGGGCGUAAGCGCGCGUAGGCGGUUUUUUAAGUCUGAUGUGAAAGCCCACGGCUCAACCGUGGAGGGUCAUUGGAAACUGGAAAACUUGAGUGCAGAAGAGGAAAGUGGAAUUCCAUGUGUAGCGGUGAAAUGCGCAGAGAUAUGGAGGAACACCAGUGGCGAAGGCGACUUUCUGGUCUGUAACUGACGCUGAUGUGCGAAAGCGUGGGGAUCAAACAGGAUUAGAUACCCCCGUAG